CCUACGGGAGGCAGCAGUGGGGAAUAUUGGUCAAUGGGCGAAAGUCUGAACCAGCCAAGUAGCGUGAAGGAUGACUGCCCUAGGGGUUGUAAACUUCUUUUAUAGGGGAAUAAAAUGUUCCACGUGUGGGAUUUUGUAUGUACCAUAUGAAUAAGGAUCGGCUAACUACGUGCCGGCAGCCGCGGUUAUACGGAGGAUCCGAGCGUUAUCCGGAUUUAUUGGGUUGAAAGGGAGCGUAGGUGGAUUGUUAAGUCAGUUGUGAAAGUUUGCGGCUCAACCGUAAAAUUGCAGUUGACACUGGCAGUCUUGAGUACAGUAGAGGUGGGCGGAAUUCGUGGUGUAGCGGUGAAAUGCGUAGAUAUCACGAAGAACUCCGAUGGCGAAGGCAGCUCACUGGACUGCAACUGACACUGAGGCUCGAAAGUGUGGGUAUCAAACAGGAUUAGAUACCCGGGUAGUC
This 460-nucleotide ribosomal RNA is filed under the name uncultured bacterium. Its description in RNAcentral is "partial 16S ribosomal RNA". It matches the Rfam family "Bacterial small subunit ribosomal RNA", at positions 338 to 795 of the family's 1533-position model. The record is from RNAcentral.